This is a long non-coding RNA of Ictalurus punctatus (channel catfish), 715 nucleotides long. The record is from Ensembl. Lineage: Eukaryota; Metazoa; Chordata; Actinopteri; Siluriformes; Ictaluridae.
AAAAAAGAAAAAAGAGAAAGAAAAUAAAUGUUAAAUGUAAGUGAUGCAAUAUUAAUCACGGGCGCUGAUAUAAAAUGCAAUAUUUCAAGGAGCUGAAGGGCUUUUAUUCGGAGCAGAGCAGCAGCGCCGGAGAGCAAAGAAACCGACAGGAAAGAAGGAGAGAAAAAGGAAAAAUAAAGACGCGGUUAUUGUUCGCGUUUGGCUUUCGGCGACGUGAAAAAAGGAGCUGCAGUGAGUUCAUUAGCUGUCACUCAUACCACCAUGAAAAAAACCCAGAAAUGUUCCGGUAGAAGUCGUGGGAGGAUUACUGGAGGACAAUGCAGGACAGCCACGUUUACCAUUUACAUCUGGUCAACAUAACGUUCGUUGCCUCUGAGCCCCCGGUGUCGAGUGUCAUGCUGACACGGAGAGAGAAGAUGAUUAAAGCUCAUUAAAGGUGAACUCCAGGAAUCGGAGGUCUGACGCACGAUGAAUCCUAAUCUGUCUCUCAAAUCGCACACUUCUGUACUCUUCUAUUUACGCACUCUUUGACAUGAUGUUUUAGUGUAAAAAAAAAAUAAAUAAAAAAAAAAAGUUGUGUGUGUUCAUGCUGAGAAACCUUCUUCUAUUAAAAUACACAGAUGGAAUGACAGGAAUGUUGAAGUUCAACUGGUCGUUACUUCAGCUGACCAAUCAGCAGUCUGUCUGUCCGUCUCUCUAUACAUCCAUCCUUCUU